CUCCUGAAUUUCCUGUUACAGGUAGUGGAUUCGAGAGGCACACCAACACCAGCAGAUGAGUCUCAGUUUAAUACUUGGGAUAUUAUAACAGUAAGUUAUAGCUCCAGAAGUCAGUCACCAGCAGCAGAUGUCACACAGUUAUAAAAUGGGAAACUUGAAGAAUAAGCUCCAGAAGUCAGUCACCAGCAGCAGAUGUCACACAGUUAUAAAAUGGGAAACUUGAAGAAUAAGCUCCAGAAGUCAGUCACCAGCAGCAGAUGUCACACAGUUAUAAAAUGGGAAACUUGAAGAAUAAGCUCCAGAAGUCAGUCACCAGCAGCAGAUGUCACACAGUUAUAAAAUGGGAAACUUGAAGAAUAAGUUAUAGCUCCAGAAAACCGCCACCAGCAGCAGAUGUCACAGUUAUAAAAUGGGAAACUUGAAGAAUAAGCUCCAGAAGUCAGCAGCAGCAGACAUCACACAGCCAUAAUGCGAGAAGCUUGAAGAAUAAUGUGGUAGUGGUUUGAAUACAUAUGACAUAUUUCACCUUCAGUUUAAAAUUGAAGUUUGUUUAUAUUGGCAGGUGGUAACUCGGAGCUCUUUGUUCCAGUUAUGGCUCCGAUAGUCUUCCAGCAGCAGCAAAUGUUUCACAGUCCUAUAGAGGCAAACUUGAAGUAUGAGGUAAUAGUGUUUUGCAUAGAAUGGCAAACUUGACCUUUCACUUAAAAUGGAGGUACAUUUGCACUGAGUUUAAUGUUAUGACACGUGAAUGGAUUACCAGUGAUGUAUAUGUAAAUACUGGAAUUUGUAACUUAGAACUUAAUUUCAGUAUCGGCUUUGAAAUUUGGUCACUGGAUACAACUAUAUUAUCUUUCAUGUUGAUAGCAGCAAUCAUCAGAUUGCAAUCCAGUUUAGUUCCUGUGAGGCAUGAGAUGUCAAAAAUACUUGUGGGUUAUUGGUAGCCUGUGUCGAGGCAUGUGGCACCUCAAAGUUUGUAAGUACAGUAGCAUUUUGUUUUCUGCUUUACUUAAAAAUUGUUAGCUGUAGCACCCAUUCUGACAUUUAAUUAUUUUGAAUUUCAAGUUUCUUAAAAUAAUACUGACAUCAGUUUCAUGUGUGUUAACACUAAUCC
This is a long non-coding RNA of Schistocerca americana (American grasshopper), 1111 nucleotides long. RefSeq lists it as uncharacterized. The transcript has 8 exons. The record is from RefSeq and is a predicted model, not a curated record. NCBI's taxonomy places the organism in Eukaryota, Metazoa, Arthropoda, Insecta, Orthoptera, Acrididae.